GUUGAUCCUGCCGGAGGUUACUGCUAUCGAGGUUCGACUAAGCCAUGCGAGUCGAAUGUAGCAAUACAUGGCGUACUGCUCAGUAACACGUGGACAACCUACCCUCCGGACGGGGAUAAACCCGGGAAACUGGGUAUAAUACCCGAUAGAUCUCGGCUGCUGGAAUGCACCGAGGUCGAAAGCUCCGGCGCCAGAGGAUGGGUCUGCGGCCUAUCAGGUAGUAGUGGGUGUAGCGUACCUACUAGCCUACGACGGGUACGGGUUGUGAGAGCAAGAGCCCGGAGAUGGAUUCUGAGACACGAAUCCAGGCCCUACGGGGUGCAGCAGGCGCGAAAACUUUACAAUGCUGGAAACAGCGAUAAGGGGACCUCGAGUGCCAGGUUACAAAUCUGGCUGUCGUGAUGCCUAAAAAGCAUUGCAUAGCAAGGGCCGGGCAAGACCGGUGCCAGCCGCCGCGGUAACACCGGCGGCUCGAGUGGUAACCGUUAUUAUUGGGUCUAAAGGGUCUGUAGCCGGCCGGAUAAGUCUCUUGGGAAAUCUGGCAGCUUAACUGUCAGGCUUUCAGGAGAUACUGUCUGGCUCGAGGCCGGGAGAGGUGAGAGGUACUUCAGGGGUAGGGGUGAAAUCUUGUAAUCCUUGAAGGACCACCAGUGGCGAAGGCGUCUCACCAGAACGGACCUGACGGCAAGGGACGAAAGCUAGGGGCACGAACCGGAUUAGAUACCCGGGUAGUCCUAGCCGUAAACGAUACUCGCUAGGUGUCGGCCACGGUGCGACCGUUGUCGGUGCCGUAGGGAAGCCGUGAAGCGAGCCACCUGGGAAGUACGGCCGCAAGGCUGAAACUUAAAGGAAUUGGCGGGGGAGCACCACAACGG
This 875-nucleotide ribosomal RNA is filed under the name uncultured archaeon. Its description in RNAcentral is "bacterial SSU rRNA". It matches the Rfam family "Archaeal small subunit ribosomal RNA", at positions 7 to 887 of the family's 1478-position model. The record is from RNAcentral.